UACGUAGGCGGGAAAUUAAGUCAGUAGUGAAAUCCCACAGCUUAACUGUGGAACUGUUAUUGAUACUGGUUUUCUUGAAUAUAGUUGAGGUAGGCGGAAUGUGAAAUGUAGCGGUGAAAUGCUUAGAUAUUACACAGAACACCGAUUGCGAAGGCAGCUUACUAAGCUAUGAUUGACGCUGAGGUACGAAAGCGUGGGGAGCGAACAGGAUUAGAUACCCUGGGUAGUCC
This 230-nucleotide ribosomal RNA is filed under the name uncultured bacterium. RNAcentral describes it as "partial 16S ribosomal RNA". It matches the Rfam family "Bacterial small subunit ribosomal RNA", at positions 568 to 796 of the family's 1533-position model. The record is from RNAcentral.